Long non-coding RNA from Cololabis saira (Pacific saury), 1309 nucleotides. RefSeq lists it as uncharacterized. The transcript has 3 exons. Lineage: Eukaryota; Metazoa; Chordata; Actinopteri; Beloniformes; Belonidae. The record is from RefSeq and is a predicted model, not a curated record.
GUGACGUCACGCUCACGUCACACGCGCUUUGGCGGCUCGGCUCCACACUGUGGAAACUAGACCUAUAAUUAGCCGCUGCAACGCCACACGACGUGAUAAUUCCAUUAGCGAUCCCUGACAGAGGCGUCUGGGCCGGGAUCCGAGCACGUCUCCUGCUACAGGGAGGUUUCUAACCAGUAAAGGCUCCUGAAGGACGUAACUCCACCUGACUCAGCAACAGACUCACCUGAGCAAGUUACCUUUCCAGGUCGUCACGGAGAACAUGAACCUGAACCUCCAAACAUGAGCAGAAACCCGACAUCUUCUUCCUCCUCCACCCUUCAUCCUCAAAUAGACACAAAGCUCCUCCUCCCCCUCCCUCAUCUUCACCCCUCCUCCUCCUCCUCCUCCUCCUCCUCCUCCUCCUCCUCCUCCUCCUCCUCCUCAUCCUCCUCCUCCUCCUCCUCCUCCCCCUCAUCCUCCCCAAGAGAUGUGAAAGUGGGUCAGACCGAGGAGGGGGAGCCCCACACAAACACAAGGAGAGUGAAAGCAGAGAGGAUUGUGGGAGUUCAUGUUGGCUCAGUAUGAAGCUGGUGGAGGUUUGUGUUCUUACCUGAGGGCCCGCAGGUGAGGCAGCACAUGGGGAGAGAAGAAGAAGAAGAGAGGAGGCUUUUAGGAAACAUCAGUAUCCUGUUAACAUCUGAACAUCUUCAUGUCUAAUCGAUACGUCACUUCAGGUUUAUCACACGUUUAUCUGACUUGUUGGAACAAAGUCGAUCCCAAAGUGCAGAUAAAACCAGAUUUAAACCAGCGCCACAAAGAGCAAGUGCAUGACGUUUUCAACACGUCUACAACAUAGACAAGAACUGUGUUCUCCCUGCCACCAAGGAACUCUUUAUUAUUCACAUUUGAAACAUUAUUUAUUCUAAUCCCUCUAUUCUUCCUAUUUUUUCCUCAUCUUUAUUUCUCAUUGCCUUUUUUUUUCCCCGCGUCUUUAAUUGUUAACCAAUCAGGUUUGACCAUGAGCUGACUCCUACUUAUAUAUGAUAGAUUAUUUUGUUCUUGAAAAACAUCUGAAGAAAAAGAAAAAAAACAUUCAAAAACAAAUAAAUGUAACAGAAUUAAAGAAAUGCUUUUAAUUGUGAUCAUUUUUAAUUUGUUUUCAUAUUCUCUUUCAUCAUUCUGCGCCAAACUGGACUAUAAAUCUACUUAAAAACUUUGUCCUAAAUACUUCAGAAAAUUCCAUAUUUCACUUUGAAAUGUGUGAAAUAUGGAAAAAAAAUGUGUCCCAGAAAAUAUAUAUGACAAAAAAUAAACGAGAAAAAGACAU